UGAGGAAUAUUGGACAAUGGAGGCAACUCUGAUCCAGCCAUGCCGCGUGCAGGAAGACUGCCCUAUGGGUUGUAAACUGCUUUUAUACGGGAAGAAACCCUCCCACGUGUGGGGGGCUGACGGUACCGUAAGAAUAAGCAUCGGCUAACUCCGUGCCAGCAGCCGCGGUAAUACGGAGGAUGCAAGCGUUAUCCGGAAUCAUUGGGUUUAAAGGGUCCGUAGGCGGACGAUUAAGUCAGGGGUGAAAGUUUGCAGCUCAACUGUAAAAUUGCCCUUGAUACUGGUUGUCUUGAAUUACUGUGAAGUGGUUAGAAUAUGUAGUGUAGCGGUGAAAUGCAUAGAUAUUACAUAGAAUACCAAUUGCGAAGGCAGAUCACUAACAGUAUAUUGACGCUGAGGGACGAAAGCGUGGGGAGCGAACAGGAUUAGAUACCCCGCGUAGUC
RNAcentral lists this ribosomal RNA (444 nucleotides) under uncultured bacterium. RNAcentral describes it as "bacterial SSU rRNA". It matches the Rfam family "Bacterial small subunit ribosomal RNA", at positions 355 to 795 of the family's 1533-position model. The record is from RNAcentral.